CGACUAUCCAUAGUCGACCUUCGUAUGGAUAGAAACUAGUCCUAUAACAUAUGACUUCGCAUUCUUAUUCAAUUUUUAACGUUUUUAUACUGAUAUUUCCAAUUUUUUUUUUGGCACAUUGAUAGUAAAAAGAAAAUAUCAGAACAGCAAAUAGAAAUAGUAAAUAAUGCCCCCGAGGUCAUAUGUUAUAGGACUAGGAUGAAACAAGUGCCUGUGGUUCCAAACACUCUGGAUAAAAGGAAAAAGGGGGGUUCCAACUCAGUCCCCUAAAGAUUUCAUAAUUAUAGCGAAAAAAUGGGGGAAAUAAAAUAUUUUAAGUAGUAUUAUAUAGAAUAAAUAAUGCAUUGAACGUCCAAAAUAAUUUGGUGUUCCCACCCCCGGAACCCCAGGGGUCCGCCACUGUGUAACGCGUAUUCUGCUUUUUUAACUAAC
This 432-nucleotide long non-coding RNA is filed under the name Mytilus galloprovincialis (Mediterranean mussel). The record is from RNAcentral. Lineage: Eukaryota; Metazoa; Mollusca; Bivalvia; Mytilida; Mytilidae.